GGACGAACGCUGGCGGCGCGCCUAACACAUGCAAGUCGAGCGAGAAAGUCCCCUUCGGGGGGCGAGUAAAGCGGCGCACGGGUGAGUAACGCGUGGGUAACCUGCCCUAGAGUGGGGGAUAACCAGCCGAAAGGCUGACUAAUCCCGCAUACGACCGGCAGACACAAGUCUGCUGGGGAAAGAUGGCCUCUGCUUGCAAGCUAUCGCUCUUGGAUGGGCCUGCGUUGGAUUAGCUAGUUGGUGAGGUAAUGGCUCACCAAGGCUGCGAUCCAUAGCUGGUUUGAGAGGACGACCAGCCACACUGGAACUGAGACACGGUCCAGACUCCUACGGGAGGCAGCAGUGAGGAAUAUUGCGCAAUGGGGGCAACCCUGACGCAGCAACGCCGCGUGAGUGAGGAAGGUUUUCGGACCGUAAAGCUCUGUCGAGCGGGAAGAAAUGCAUGGUGGCUAAUAUCCAUCAUGCUUGACGGUACCGCUAAAGGAAGCACCGGCUAACUCCGUGCCAGCAGCCGCGGUAAUACGGGGGGUGCGAGCGUUGUUCGGAAUUAUUGGGCGUAAAGAGCGUGUAGGCGGCCGAAUAAGUCAGAUGUGAAAUCCCUGGGCUUAACCCAGGACGUGCAUUUGAAACUAUUCGGCUGGAGUAGGGGAGAGGAAAGUGGAAUUCCUGGUGUAGAGGUGAAAUUCGUAGAUAUCAGGAGGAACACCGGUGGCGAAGGCGGGUAACUGGACUGCAACUGACGCUGAGGCGCGAAAGUGUGGGGAGCAAACAGGAUUAGAUACCCUGGUAGUCCACACCGUAAACGAUGAAUGCUAGGCGUAGGGGGUAUCGACCCCUUCUGUGCCGGAGUUAACGCAAUAAGUAUCCCGCCUGGGGAGUACGGUCGCAAGGCUG
Molecule: ribosomal RNA, 894 nt
Filed under: uncultured delta proteobacterium
Lineage: Bacteria; Deltaproteobacteria
Description: bacterial SSU rRNA
Rfam family: Bacterial small subunit ribosomal RNA
Source: RNAcentral